CCGGAACGACACCGUGACGCUCAGAAACGCGGCGCAAACCCCAGAGUGGAUUUGCAGGUUUAUGUUGCAGUUUACGGCUGACCGGACUCGUAUAUGACGAAAUUCGCGCAGCGCAGCAAAAAGACGUGCGAAAUACGCGGGAACUCGACACACCUCUCAUCGCUCUGCUGGAUGUGUCGUGCUACAUGUGUUUACAUGUCCUUAAACCUGCUCUCUCUUACAAAAUAAUGCAGCUCCUGCUGUGUUUACGUCAAUGGCAGCAGCCACAGCACCUUGUUUUCUUCUCGCCAUGUCCUUCGACGACUUUGACUGACUCAGAGCUCAGUACCGCCCACCAAACCCAGCCCCAUUUAUAGCCCAGACUGAAAUUGAGGGUCUCAAGGCUCUGGAAAUUGUAAGCGACACUGUGUAAGAGUGCAAGUAAGAGCGUGCGAUAUGUGUGUACGGCUUUCCUUUGUUACUUUCACGCGAGCUACUCGUUGCCAAGUUGCCUACAUAUUUAGCUUUGGUUACCUAUGGUCGCCUCCUUUUAAGCCAUAAACUUGCUUCAACUGAUAUUUAAGCCGUUGAAAUAUUUUAAAUAUUUGUAAACGAAUAAAUUUCUCCAAGUUAACAUGCAUUUUCCUUUUAACCAUUUUAGCCAAACACAUU
Non-coding RNA from Drosophila melanogaster (fruit fly), 651 nucleotides. The record is from Ensembl. Lineage: Eukaryota; Metazoa; Arthropoda; Insecta; Diptera; Drosophilidae.